Molecule: long non-coding RNA, 747 nt
Organism: Lates calcarifer (barramundi perch)
Lineage: Eukaryota; Metazoa; Chordata; Actinopteri; Centropomidae
Exons: 4
Source: RefSeq, a predicted model, not a curated record
UAUAUUGACCACAGGACGCAGGGCUGGCGGUGACGGAUUUACUACGAGGAGCGAGGAGCGGUGAAGAGGAUGUUGAGCGAUUCGUUCUGCUUCCCGCAGUUUUUCCUUUCUGAGGAGGAGGAGGUGGUGGUAUGGUGAGAGGAUCCGCCUCUGGGGGGCGCCAUGCUCCCAUCGAGUGGCGUGAAGAGGAGAGCGAUGCUGGUACUGCUGCUGCUGCCCACUCAGCCUGCUGCAGAGAGAGCAGAGAGGAUGAAAGGAUGGAGAGAGGAGAAGGCAGAGCAGCAACAGAAGCAGCUUCAGCUUCUCCAUCAACACACAAACACAGAGUCACUGUUCAAUACCAGCGAAGGCACACUGCGGCCUCCAGUCACUGCUCAUUGUACUGUGACAAGACCACAGGACCAAAGCUGCUACAACAGAGGCAGAGGAAAUGAGAGGAGACAAAAGCAGAAGCCGCUCUCGCCACCUUGGCCCUUGUCCUCGCCAUGAUCGCUCAGAAAUGAGUCUGUCGAGUGGAUGGUUUCGUCGGAGUUGUUUUAUCGAACUCACAGUGUAAUGAGUGUGUUUGUCUUCUGAGAGCUGCAGCACUUGCUUUCUCCUCUACUUAGCAUUUGAAUCACUGACUCUAUGGAAGACAGGAAGCAGCAGGUGGUCAGCAUCGUGAGCCAGGGACGAACGUAUGAGAUUUAAUCUGUGUACAGGAUAAAUAAACGGAGACAAGCUGCAGGCACACCUGAAACAGUUAAU